CAGUAGCCACGGUAAUACGAAGGGUGCAAGCGUUACUCGGAACUACUGGGCGUAAAGCGUGCGUAGGUGGUGGUUUAAGUCCGUUGUGAAAGCCCUGGGCUCAACCUGGGAAUUGCAGUGGAUACUGGGUCACUAGAGUGUGGUAGAGGAAAGUGGAAUUUCCGGUGUAGCAGUGAAAUGCGUAGAGAUCGGAAGGAACAUCUGUGGCGAAGGCGACUAUCUGGGCCAACACUGACACUGAGGCACGAAAGCGUGGGGAGCAAACAGGAUUAGAUACCCGAGUAGUCCCUGUCUCUUAUAC
RNAcentral lists this ribosomal RNA (301 nucleotides) under uncultured bacterium. RNAcentral describes it as "partial 16S ribosomal RNA". It matches the Rfam family "Bacterial small subunit ribosomal RNA", at positions 509 to 807 of the family's 1533-position model. The record is from RNAcentral.